Molecule: long non-coding RNA, 2314 nt
Organism: Pleuronectes platessa (European plaice)
Lineage: Eukaryota; Metazoa; Chordata; Actinopteri; Pleuronectiformes; Pleuronectidae
Exons: 3
Source: RefSeq, a predicted model, not a curated record
CAGGGAAGUCAGUGAUAAUCAUGAAUAUCAUCAGGCUGACUCUGGUGGUCGUGCUGGUUCCAGUGCUUGUCUGGACUCUGUGGACGAGGAUGAAGAAAACUCUGAGCUUGAAAUCAGAAGUGAAUGAAGCUGUGGAGAUGAUAGAGUCACACAACUGUCCUGAGUAUGAGAACGUUGCUGCUGCAGCACAGACAGAAGACACAGAGGAGCAGGAAGACCUGGUGUGAAGCAUCAGGUCAGAGCCACUGGGACAAACAGAACCAAGAUGGACGACUUCAGAGAACAUCCGUACAAGCGAGUUUUACAGAAACCAUAAUGUGUAGUUAUAAAUACAGGAAAUCUGUCCAAGCAACAAAAUAUCUGAGUGCAAGCGCAGAGUUUGAGCACAAGCAGAACAAAUCUAAGCACCAGCAGGAGCUGUGUGAGUGCAAGCUCAGGGUGUUGAGUAAAAACACAACAAAAUCUGAACGUGCAAGUCCAGCUCUCAAACUAAAAGACCACGCUUUUGAAUAAAGAGGAAACCACCGUCCAUUUCCUUUCUACUCAUGGUUUCCUGUUUUUCUUUUCUCCUCAGGUGCACUGUGAUUGGUUGAUGUAUGUCUGUAAGUAUGUGAGAGGAAACAGGAAGUAUCUCUCUUUCCAUCCCCGGUUGCAGCAGCAGCAGUUUGUACAGCAUGACCUUUAGAACAAGAGUAUAGUUGUGUUGUUUCUUUUCUUUUUUUUGUGAUGGGUCCAGUCGUCCAGUUUCCGCAGCUCUAUUUCUGUGAGCUUUAGUUCUGAUGUUGGUUUAGGUUGAAGGAAGAUUCUCAGAUCCUACGACCCUUUGUGGGUUGGUGUGUUGGGUUUUCCUUCUUUUGUCUAUUUUGCUGGCCUGUUGUUGAAGUUGUUUUCAUUUCUACAAUAAUUUUUUUUUUUGUUGCUGUUACCCUCUGAACUAUGUUGGACGUCUUGGUGAUGAGCAUUUGAGGCUGUGGUAACAUCUUGUGACUCAUCUCAUGUCUUAUACACGAUAUUAAUGUGGUUAUUACAUGGAUAAUGAGUUACGUAUUGUGAUUUUAUGAUUCUUUCUUAAAAAAAUGUUUUUGGUCUUUUGUUUUCACUCCUUCUCUAUUUGUUUGUUUGUUUUUCAGCAGAAUUACACCAGAAAACUAAACAGAUUUGUUUAUGAACUCAUCAAAUUUGGGCAAGAAUCCUGAUAAAGGGGCGGAGCCAGGAGCCUGUUUGUAUCACUUUUUUUAUAAUUGUGAGACUGAUGAAAACAGUCAGGAUUAGUUAGAGGACUGGUUUCUAUGAGUGAUUGAACUCUGGUGCAGCUUGAUUGAAUGGAGGGAGACUGUUGGGUUUGACUUUAGUGUUUUGUGGUAUUUCUCACAUCACGUGUUAAACACGUGAAGAAGAAGGAGUUAGGUGUGUUUUAAUCCACCAUGUUCACACGGCGGACAUUUUCCUCUGACGUCUCUGUCAUUAGAGGCGGUGGACUAGUGGCAGAAACUUGGACUAUGGGCAGAAAAGGUCUCUGGUUCGUCUCUGGUUCGACUCCACUGAGAAACAACAACAACAGCAAAGACGAACCUGGAUUGAUCUGUCCAAAAAUCCAAGAGGAUUCUCCCUACCCUGUCUAGUGCCCCUGAGCAAGGCACCUUACUCCCCCAACAUCUGCUCCCCGGGCGCCGUACAUGGUCGCUCACUGCUCUGUGUGUCCUGCACCAGAUGGGUCAAAAGCAGAGGUUACAUUUCCCUACCUGCUUGAGUGUGCCUGUGCAUGUGUUUGGGACAAAUAAAUGCAUCUUAGUCUUAAUCUGAAUUAAUCUUAAUGUGAAGUCUUGAAUGUUGUUACGAACAGAAUAAUGUUGUACUGCUGUGAUCCAGGUUUAUAAGUAAAACAAAAAAGAUAAUAUAUUAUUACUUAUUCUUCAUUAGGAUAAUUGAUUAAUUGUUGUUAAUUGAUGUUAAUUAUACUUUAACUUUUUCUAUACAACAUUAUUUAUAUUUAUAGUCUUGUUUAUUUCAUUUGUUGUUCACUCAUAACUUGCUCUUUUCUGACUUUGUGAUGUACAGUUUUGCAACAAAGCAGAUUUUCUUUAGGGAUCAUUAAAAGUGUGUUUUUAUUCUGUUCAUACAUUUUCAUUUGUUAUAAUUAGCUUUUGUUUUGAGACUCUUAAAAUAUUUUGAUGUCACUUACAGUGUUAAUGAAUGUUCAUUUUCCAGCUUAAUUUAAAAUCUUAAAUUUUUCUUUUUCAUGUCAAUCUUUAAUGCAUCUUAAUGAGACAUUGAACAGAUGAGAUUAAAAACAGACCAGUUUUACUCAAGUCUU